GGUUUGUUUUGUUUUUCAGUUUUGUCUUCUAGUUUUUUUAUUUCUUAAAGAUUCAUUUACUUUAUGUGUGUAUAUGUGAAUGUAUGUAUAUGUACCAUAUAAAUGUAGCUGUCCAUGGACUGCAGAAGAGGGUGUUAGAGCCCCUGAAACUGGAGUUACAGGCAUUUGUAAGUUGCCUGCUUAGAUGCUGGAUACAGAACCUCUCAAGUAGAUAGAUUGCAGAACAGGUCCUCUCCAAGAGUAUCAAGUGCUCUUAACCACUGAGACAUUUCAGCUCCUCAUUGUUGAUGUUGGAGAUGUUGUUGCUGUGUAGCUUUAACUUGACUACAAAGCAGUCCCUAAGCCUCCUGCACAUUAGAAUCAGAAGCAUCAGCCACAAUAUGCAACACUUGAACACAUUUUUACAUUUUUUUAAUCUAGUGUGUAUAUGUGUACAUAUGUGCCACAGUUUGUAUAUGAGGGUCGGAAGCUGACUUUGCAAAGCCAGUUCUCUUCUUCCAAGGAUUGAAUUGUCAAAUUCGGUGGGAAGUUCCUUUACCCAUUGAACCAUCUUCUUAUUGCCCUAAAAUAGUUUUUUGUUUGUGUUUGUUUUGUUUUGAGACAAAAUCUCUUCCCCAAGCUGGAUUAGAACUCCUCACUAGCUGAAAGACCCUUGAACUUCAGAUUCUCCUUCUCCCCGCCUUCUUCCUCAGUGCUGGGUUGUAUUACAGCUGUGCAUUGUCAUACUUAGAUGAUUUUCCUUUUUUCUCCCCUUAAGUUUACCAUGAUUCUCUUUGUCUCUAACCCUAUAUUUGUUUAUUUCUCCAUUCUUAAUAAAUUUCAUUUUGCCUUGGAAAUUGUUAGUAACAGUUACUUUAUUUUGAUGAAAUAUGGUUGUAUUUAGAGUAAGGAGAGGGCUUAUUCCACCUAACAGCUUACAAGUCCUUCUGAAGGGAAGUCAGAACAGAACUAGAACAAAGGCCAUGGAGGUGUGCUGCUUACUGGCUUAUUCUCUCUAGCUUGCUCAGCCUGUUUUCUCAGACACCCCAGGACCACUUGCCCACAAUUGGCACUAUUCACAGUGGGCUGGGUCUUUCCAAGAAAAUCGUUUUUAUCUAAUGGAGACAUUUUAGCAGUUGUGUUUCACCUUUCCUAGCUAACUGUCAAGUUGGCAAAGAGCAGCCAGGAAGGGGAUAGUGCUUGUGGUCUAAUAGUCAAAUUAAAUUAUCACAUAAAGCUUUUUAUUUUUUUAUUUUUUACUUUUUUUGAACCAGGGGUAGUGGCACAUACCUUUAAUCCCAGCAUUUUAGAGACAGGGAUAGAAUGAUCUUGUGGUUUCAAAGCCAGCCUAGUUUUCAAAGUGAGUUCUAGGCCUGCCAAGGCUACACUGUAAGACCCUGUUCCAAUCAAUCGAUCAACCAAUCAAUAAACAAAUAAAUAAGGCUAAACAAUGAGACCUUGUUUAAAUAAAUACAUAAGU
RNAcentral lists this long non-coding RNA (1459 nucleotides) under Mus musculus (house mouse). RNAcentral's name for it is "long non-coding RNA chr2:121918741-121920200". The record is from RNAcentral. Lineage: Eukaryota; Metazoa; Chordata; Mammalia; Rodentia; Muridae.